AAUCAACGCUGGCGGCGUGCCUCAGACAUGCAAGUCGAACGAUUAAAGCUCCCUUCGGGGAGUGUAUAGAGUGGCGCACGGGUGAGUAACACGUAAGUAAUCUACCCUCGAGUGGGGAAUAACGUCCGGAAACGGACGCUAAUACCGCAUAAUGCAGCGGCACCGCAAGGUGACAGUUGUUAAAGAUUUAUCGCUUGAGGAGGAGCUUGCGGCAGAUUAGCUAGUUGGAAGGUAAUGGCUUACCAAGGCUACGAUCUGUAACCGGUCUAAGGGGACGGUCGGUCACACUGACACUGAAUAACGGGUCAGACUCCUACGGGAGGCAGCAGUCGGGAAUUUUGGCAAUGGGCGAAAGCCUGACCCAGCAACGCCGCGUGAAGGAUGAAGUAUUUCGGUAUGUAAACUUCGAAAGAAUGGGAAGAAUCAAUGACGGUACCAUUUAUAAGGUCCGGCUAACUACGUGCCAGCCGCCGCAGUAAC
This 480-nucleotide ribosomal RNA is filed under the name uncultured bacterium. RNAcentral's name for it is "bacterial SSU rRNA". It matches the Rfam family "Bacterial small subunit ribosomal RNA", at positions 32 to 524 of the family's 1533-position model. The record is from RNAcentral.